GCACGUAUUUUGGACAAGAUUUUUCUUAUUUUAGAUUUCAUUUUGACAAAAAUGCUGUAGAUAGGUUGACGGGACUGAUAAUGAAAGGUUACGCCAAUGUUCUGCGCAAACAGUUGCUGCUUUUUGGUGCGCACACACCCCAGGCACUCCAUCUCGUCAACGCCUAAGAAGUUGGUGAAAGUGCCUCCUGCCAGACUUGCUGGAUGGCUACUACCUGCACUUGCUAGCUGAAAUGAAGCUCUUCCAACUAGCUGGCAUGGCUCUCGGCAGCUUGGCUUACGCAUGGGACGCUGCAGACGCAAUCAUCGCCAGCCUCACACAUGUCGAAAAUCAGGCAGACUACAUCGGCUGCUCACUGAUAUGGGCCAAAGAAGGCUCGUUGCUGGCGGUGGUUCUGGAGACAACGGUUCGAUCCAUCUGUAGGACGUCGCUCGGCAAGAAGUUGUGGAGUGUGAUGGUCAUCCACGCGGCGCGCGUAUCCAGUCACGUUGUCCAGAAACGAUCACAUUAUCUCCAGGUCACUCCGUGACUUGCCGGCGCUCGAGCUGACGGUGUCGCCCGAACGAAGGCUUCACGGCGACAAGUGCUGCCACCGCCUGAGACCAUCCGACUCCGAAAAGCUGAUUGCCGGGCACGAACAAGAGGCUACAGGCAUUUGGGUGCAACACCUGCUCCGAGUGCCCUGUUCUGAGGCGUCAUCCGAAGAAGGCCGCAUAGUGCACUUAAGGCUGUGUUCGGGUGUAGUGCACUGCACUGUCGGAUAGGAUCAAAUGGCAGGCCCGUCAUAAGAUCUCAGUACGAAAUUAAGAUAGUCAGAGCCGACGUGAUCGGUGGAUGGUGUGCCAGGGUUGAUUGAGCGUCCAUGAGCGUGAGACACCUGGAUCUGUGACGGAUACGCCGAUACGUGUCCCGGAUUCGACCCCCCUCCCCCUCCGUCUCAACGGUGUUGGCUGAGAUUGGGGUAUUUUUACGGACUCGCCAAUGUCCUGCAAUUUCUGUUAUGUAAUUUGACGAUCAUGCCGUGGUCUCAUUCUGUCUCGAUAUGCUAAUAAAUGAUAAAUGUAACA
Molecule: long non-coding RNA, 1067 nt
Filed under: Amphibalanus amphitrite
Lineage: Eukaryota; Metazoa; Arthropoda; Thecostraca; Balanomorpha; Balanidae
Description: uncharacterized LOC122365077
Source: RNAcentral